Molecule: ribosomal RNA, 446 nt
Filed under: uncultured bacterium
Lineage: Bacteria
Description: partial 16S ribosomal RNA
Rfam family: Bacterial small subunit ribosomal RNA
Source: RNAcentral
CCUACGGGAGGCAGCAGUCGAGAAUCAUUCACAAUGGGGGAAACCCUGAUGGUGCGACGCCGCGUGGGGGAAUGAAGGUCUUCGGAUUGUAAACCCCUGUCAUGUGGGAGCAAAUUAAAAAGAUAGUACCACAUGAGGAAGAGACGGCUAACUCUGUGCCAGCAGCCGCGGUAAUACAGAGGUCUCAAGCGUUGUUCGGAAUCACUGGGCGUAAAGCGUGCGUAGGCUGUUUCGUAAGUCGUGUGUGAAAGGCGCGGGCUCAACCCGCGGACGGCACAUGAUACUGCGAGACUAGAGUAAUGGAGGGGGAACCGGAAUUCUCGGUGUAGCAGUGAAAUGCGUAGAUAUCGAGAGGAACACUCGUGGCGAAGGCGGGUUCCUGGACAUUAACUGACGCUGAGGCACGAAGGCCAGGGGAGCGAAAGGGAUUAGAUACCCUAGUAGUC